This is a long non-coding RNA of Cygnus olor (mute swan), 802 nucleotides long. RefSeq lists it as uncharacterized. The transcript is spliced from 3 exons. Lineage: Eukaryota; Metazoa; Chordata; Aves; Anseriformes; Anatidae. The record is from RefSeq and is a predicted model, not a curated record.
GAGUAAGAGAGGGGUGGUGGUACUAGCUGCUGCUGCUGUCUGGGUGGAGUAGCUGAAAAACAGUGUGCAAGAAGGAAGAGAAGAAGUUCAAGCCCCAGGGUACAAGAUAUGCUAAAAAUCUGCACAGGUUCAAAAAGUGACUGGAAAAAAAAAAAAAACACUGAAGAAAAUCCUUGGAGGAAAGAAAUCUGUCACAUAGAAAGAUUCCUCCUCAGUUUGAGGAAAUCCUUGAACGACAAAUAGCUGCAGGCUGGGAAGUCAUUCUGGAAGUGAAAUAUACCAAGGGCUGGAAAGGUUGAUACUAAAAACAACGGUGACCUGGAUGUACCAAGUGUAGCAAGAGGAAUGGCUCCUGCCUUCUUGCAGUGGGUCUGCCUGCGAAGCACAGGGACAUCUUUGGGAACGGGAAUGACAGUUGAAGGCAUGAGCUGCAUGAUCCCCGACAGAUCAAUUUUUAUAACUUUAGAACAAUGAAAGAAGCAUAACAUAUUAUAAAUUUAAAUUACCCUGCAUGAUCUUAACUCUACAGAUGCAAAGGUCAUUAAAUAAUGUCAUUCUCAGCCGCACGCCACAGGGAGCUAUCUAUCACAUAUUAUCUAGCAUUCUGAUGGAAGUAAAAAUGAUUAAUUUUUACUGUCUCUUGUAUAAUUUACUUAUUAAUGUUACGUGCAGGACAAUACGGGCUUGAUAAUUUGGCUAAAUGCAUAUUGAAACUGAGCUUUAUAUUUUUCUCUGAAGAGAAAUCUGUUACAGCUAAUGCAUGCUAGUAAUAAAAUAGUUUAGAUGUAAAAACUUGGUUUGA